RNAcentral lists this ribosomal RNA (159 nucleotides) under uncultured bacterium. Its description in RNAcentral is "partial 16S ribosomal RNA". It matches the Rfam family "Bacterial small subunit ribosomal RNA", at positions 355 to 509 of the family's 1533-position model. The record is from RNAcentral.
UGAGGAAUAUUGGUCAAUGGGCGGGGAGCCUGAACCAGCCAAGCCGCGUGAGGGAAGACGGUCCUAUGGAUUGUAAACCUCUUUUGUCGGGGAGCAAAGAGGCCACGUGUGGUCAAAAGCGAGAGUACCCGAAGAAAAAGCAUCGGCUAACUCCGUGCC